UUCGAUAAGGGCAAACCCUGAGUAAUCAGGGGACGCAAAGUAAAGGGUCUUUAAACAUACAGGGAAGUAGUUUAAACAAGAUAGCCUUACUGCCGAAG
Candidatus Brocadia sinica JPN1 is the source of this 98-nucleotide regulatory RNA element. It matches the Rfam family "c-di-GMP-I-GGC riboswitch aptamer". NCBI's taxonomy places the organism in Bacteria, Pseudomonadati, Planctomycetota, Candidatus Brocadiia, Candidatus Brocadiales, Candidatus Brocadiaceae. The record is from Rfam.